AUUGAACGCUGGCGACAUGCCUUACACAUGCAAGUCGAACGGCCGCACGGGUGCUUGCCCCUGGUGGCGAGUGGCGAACGGGUGAGUAAUACAUCGGAACAUGUCCUGUAGUGGGGGAUAGCCCGGCGAAAGCCGGAUUAAUACCGCAUACGAUCUACGGAUGAAAGCGGGGGACCUUCGGGCCUCGCGCUAUAGGGUUGGCCGAUGGCUGAUUAGCUAGUUGGUGGGGUAAAGGCCUACCAAGGCGACGAUCAGUAGCUGGUCUGAGAGGACGACCAGUCACACUGGGACUGAGACACGGCCCAGACUCCUACGGGAGGCAGCAGUGGGGAAUUUUGGACAAUGGGCGAAAGCCUGAUCCAGCAAUGCCGCGUGUGUGAAGAAGGCCUUCGGGUUGUAAAGCACUUUUGUCCGGAAAGAAAUCCUUGGCCCUAAUACGGUCGGGGGAUGACGGUACCGGAAGAAUAAGCACCGGCUAACUACGU
RNAcentral lists this ribosomal RNA (485 nucleotides) under uncultured bacterium. Its description in RNAcentral is "partial 16S ribosomal RNA". It matches the Rfam family "Bacterial small subunit ribosomal RNA", at positions 30 to 506 of the family's 1533-position model. The record is from RNAcentral.